Molecule: small RNA, 3783 nt
Filed under: Caenorhabditis elegans
Lineage: Eukaryota; Metazoa; Nematoda; Chromadorea; Rhabditida; Rhabditidae
Description: Unclassified non-coding RNA F54C4.9
Source: RNAcentral
AGCCUACAUCUACCAAAAGCACAAUUUUCUGAAACGCCGACACCCACAGCUGCUCACUCGGAAUAAAAAUGACUGUUGUGUGCAUUUGGAGGUCCGUGAGGACUCGGAAUACGGCCCGAUUCACGUGAAAGGCACUCUGGAGCACACGGGCCAUCGUUUCGGAACUCCGUUGCUCAGAAUGUGUAGGUUUUUGGCUUUUUUCGGUAAAAAAUUUGGCAUUUUUGAGGUUUUUAGCCCAGACAUGUAGAAAUUUCAAUGUUUUUGAGGUUUUUUAGCUUAAAAAUCGGCAAAAAUCGCACAUUUUCGAGGUUUUUUUGCUAAAAAAUCGGCAAAAAUCGCCUAUUUUUAAAGGUUUUUUAGCCUAAAAAUCGGCAAAAUUCGCCUAUUUCCAAGGUUUUUUUGCUAAAAAAUCGACAAAAAUCGCCUAUUUUUGAGGUUUUUAAUCCUAAAAAACUCGCAAAAUGCCAUUUUCAGCCGUUUUUAAGCUAAAAAAGCCCAAAUUCAAGCUUCCGAGCCUAAAAAUCACUAAUUUCAGCUCCAAUGGAUCGUCAAAUAUAUUCGGAAGUGCUCAGCUGGAAAGAGCAACGAGAUUUUCAGUUUAUGGCUCUAGACGUUGUCGAGAAGCUUAAUGGUACUGGAAAAGAGCUAAAAACUGCCGAAAAAUAAGAAUUUCAGCCAAAAAUCUAGUGAAAAACUGGGAAUUGGACGAUUUUUGUGUAAAAAAUUGGAAAAAAAAUUGGUUUUUAGCCUAAUUUUCAUGAUUUUUGGCCAAAUUUUCAACAUUUUAAGCCAAAUUUUCAACAUUUCAAGCCGAUUUUUCACUAUUUAAAGCCAAAUUUUCACCAUUUCAAGCCAAAUUUUCACCAUUUCAAGCCAAAUUUUCACCAUUUCAAGCCGAUUUUUCACUAUUUAAAGCCGAUUUUUCACUAUUUAAAGCCAAAUUUGAACCAUUUUAAGCCAAAUUUUCAACAUUUUAAGCCAAAUUUUCACCAUUUCAAGCCAAAUUUCACCAUUUCAAGCCGAUUUUUCACUAUUUAAAGCCAAAUUUGAACCAUUUUAAGCCAAAUUUUCAACAUUUUAAGCCAAAUUUUCACUAUUUAAAGCCAAAUUUGAACCAUUUUAAGCCAAAAUUUCAACAUUUUAAGCCAAAUUUUCACGAUUUCCAGCCAAAUUUUCCCCAUUUUUCAGUAUUCGAAGGCUUCACAAUGGAUCAUUACACCACUCCGCGGUCCGUAAUCCUGAUGGAACCCCUUCACACGAAUCAAUUCCAAUCCCUCAGAGAAUUCAUCGAGGCUCCCUCCACCUCAACCUAUCAAAAUCCGUAUUUUUCCGUCGAUUUUGGCGAUUCGCCGGAGCAAUUUUCGUUUGGUUACAUGUCCGACGAGAUGCAAAAGUUGUGGAGCAAAUAUGCGCCUGGAAGGACAAUUACAAUCGAUUCGGUACGGGAAAAUUUGAGUUUUCCGCGAAAUUUGCCCCUGAAAAGCCGUUUUCAGGGCUCUGUAGCUCGAAAAUUGAAAAUAAGGGGUACUGUAUCCCCAAAAGUACGCAAACACCACCCAAUGCACCUGAAUUUACGCAAAAAUGCAGAUAAGCUCUAAAAAUCGGUUUCGAGGGGAAAAAUGACGAGGAAUUCGAUUUUGGUGUCAAAAGUGUGAAAAAACGGCAUAUUUUUGAUUAAAAUAACUAAAAAAAUAGUUGAAAAUUCGAAUUCCCCGUCACUUUUUACCCCGAAACCCGAUUUUCAGAGCGUUUCUGCAAUUUUACGUAAGAUCUGAUGUAUUUGGGUACUGUAGUCGGUGUUUGCGUACUUUUGGCGCUACAGUAAUCCGGAAAUUUUCCAAUUAAGCUAGAGAGAGCCCAUCUAAAAGUUAUUUAAGACUAAAUUUCGCUUAGAUUUCGAUAAAUUUUCAGAUUAAAAUUACCACCAAAACUUGAAAUUUUCAGUCCCCGCUGGAGUUUGGCGAAGUGGAUUUGUUCCAGUACAGCGUCAUUGUGACCGACGAGAAUUACAUUCCAAAGUGUGCGAUGAUCUACGUGACGACGGACAAUUCACGGGCUCCGCACACAAUUUUGCGGCAAAUGAAGGCUGUGUAAGGCCUUGUUUUUAGUGAAAAUCUGGAAAUUUCUAGACAAAAUCUUGGGAAAAUACCGAAAAAUUGACAAUUUUUUAUUUAGCAGACCCAGCUAUGGUCUGCUAAUUAUUUAGCAGACCCAACUUUGGUCUGCUAAUUAUUUAGCAUACCCAAAAAUGGUCUGCUAAAUAUUUAGCAGACACAAAAAUGGUCUGCUAAAUAUUUAGCAGACCCAACUUUGGUCUGCUAAUUAUUUAGCAUACCCAAAAAUGGUCUGCUAAUUAUUUAGCAGACCCAACUGUGGUCAGUUAAUUAUUUAGCAUACCCAAAUAUGAUCUGCUAAUUAUUUAGCAGACCCAACGUUGGUCUGCUGAAUAUUUAGCAGUCCCAACUUUGGUCUGCUAAUUAUUUAGCAGACCCAACUUUGGUCUGCUAAUUAUUUAGCAUACCCAAAUAUAAUCUGCUAAUUAUUUAGCAGACCCAACUUUGGUCUGCUAAAUAUUUAGCAGUCCCAACUUUGGUCUGCUAAUUAUUUAGCAGACCCAACUUUGGUCUGCUAAUUAUUUAGCAGACCCAACUUUGGUCUGCUAAUUAUUUAGCAGACCCAACUUUGGUCUGCUAAUUAUUUAGCAUACCCAAAAUGGUCUGCUAAUUAUUUAGCAUACCCAACUUUGGUCUGCUAAUUAUUUAGCAGACCCAACUUUGGUCUGCUAAUUAUUUAGCAUACCCAACUAUGGUCUGCUAAAUAUUUAGCAGACCCAACGUUGGUCUGCUAAUUAUUUAACAGACCAAACUUUGGUCUGCUAAAUAUUUAGCAUACCCAAAAAUAGUCUGCUAAUUAUUUAGCAGACCCAACGUUGGUCUGCUAAUUAUUUAGCAGACCCAAAUAUAAUCUGCUAAUUAUUUAGCAGACCCAACGUUUGUCUGCUAAUUAUUUAGCAGACCCAACUUUGGUCUGCUAAUUAUUUAGCAGACCCAACUUUGGUCUGCUAAUUAUUUAGCAGACCCAACUUUGGUCUGCUAAUUAUUUAGCAUACCCAAAAAUGGUCUGCUAAUUAUUUAGCAUACCCAACUUUGGUCUGCUAAUUAUUUAGCAGACCCAACUUUGGUCUGCUAAUUAUUUAGCAUACCCAACUAUGGUCUGCUAAAUAUUUAGCAGACCCAACGUUGGUCUGCUAAUUAUUUAACAGACCAAACUUUGGUCUGCUAAAUAUUUAGCAUACCCAAAAAUAGUCUGCUAAUUAUUUAGCAGACCCAACGUUGGUCUGCUAAUUAUUUAGCAGACCCAAAUAUAAUCUGCUAAUUAUUUAGCAGACCCAACGUUUGUCUGCUAAUUAUUUAGCAGACCCAACUUUGGUCUGCUAAUUAUUUAGCAUACCCAAAAAUCCUGAAAUUUCACUCUACACGUGACAAAUCGGACCAUUUUUGUACGAAAAAAUCAUGUUUUCAGGCUGUUUUUCAACAAAAUUUGCUGAAAAAUCGAAUUUUUCAACAAAAACAUUUUCAGAGAACCUCGACCGCCGACAAUUUUUAUGGUGGACCCGUCACAACUCUGGGUGGAACUUAUCCAAGACCUAUGGCCCACAGAUUUGGAUAAUCCCGAGUCGGAAGUGACGAUUCUCAUCUCCGAAUGGACUCUGAUGGAUUAUUGGGCUGCGAAAACGGAGGAACUAGUCAAAAACGAAUUUGACGUGUUUUGUAUCGUUACUGG